GAUGAACGCUGGCGGCGUGCCUCAAACAUGCAAGUCGAGCGGGGCUAUGUAAUACCGCAAGGUAGAACAUAGCCUAGCGGCGAACGGGUGAGUAACACGUGGGUAACCUGCCUGGAAGACAGGGAUAACGAUUCGAAAGGGUCGCUAAUACCUGAUAAUAUCCUUUCAUCGCAUGGUGAUAGGAAGAAAGGGGAAACCCGCUUUCAGAUGGGCCCGCGUCCCAUCAGCUAGUUGGUAAGGUAAAGGCUUACCAAGGCGACGACGGGUAGCCGGUCUGAGAGGAUGUACGGCCACACUGGGACUGAGAUACGGCCCAGACUCCUACGGGAGGCAGCAGUUGGGAAUCUUAGGCAAUGGACGAAAGUCUGACCUAGCGACGCCGCGUGAGGGAAGAAGGCCUUCGGGUUGUAAACCUCUGUCAGUGGGGAAGAAGUAAGUGACGGUACCCAAGAGGAAGCCCCUGCUAACUACGUGCCAGCGAGCCGACGGUAAUGAGUAGUACA
RNAcentral lists this ribosomal RNA (503 nucleotides) under uncultured bacterium. Its description in RNAcentral is "bacterial SSU rRNA". It matches the Rfam family "Bacterial small subunit ribosomal RNA", at positions 28 to 536 of the family's 1533-position model. The record is from RNAcentral.